RNAcentral lists this transfer RNA (88 nucleotides) under Chloroflexota bacterium. Its description in RNAcentral is "Chloroflexi bacterium (groundwater metagenome) tRNA-Ser". It matches the Rfam family "tRNA". Rfam says of the family: Transfer RNA (tRNA) molecules are approximately 80 nucleotides in length. Their secondary structure includes four short double-helical elements and three loops (D, anti-codon, and T loops). Further hydrogen bonds mediate the characteristic L-shaped molecular structure. tRNAs have two regions of fundamental functional importance: the anti-codon, which is responsible for specific mRNA codon recognition, and the 3' end, to which the tRNAs corresponding amino acid is attached (by aminoacyl-tRNA synthetases). tRNAs cope with the degeneracy of the genetic code in two manners: having more than one tRNA (with a specific anti-codon) for a particular amino acid; and 'wobble' base-pairing, i.e. permitting non-standard base-pairing at the 3rd anti-codon position. Lineage: Bacteria; Bacillati; Chloroflexota. The record is from RNAcentral.
GGAGAGGUGCUGGAGCGGUCGAACAGGCACGCCUGGAGAGCGUGUAGGGGCCACAAGCUCCUCGCGGGUUCGAAUCCCGCCCUCUCCG